UACGAAGGGUGCAAGCGUUAAUCGGAAUUACUGGGCGUAAAGCGUGCGUAGAUGGUUCGAUCAGUCGGAUGUGAAAGCCCCGGGCUCAACCUGGGAACUGCAUCCGAUACUGUCGGACUAGAGUGUGAUAGAGGAUGGCGGAAUUCCCGGUGUAGCGGUGAAAUGCGUAGAGAUCGGGAGGAACAUCCGUGGCGAAGGCGGCCAUCUGGAUCAACACUGACGUUGAGGCACGAAAGCGUGGGGAGCAAACAGG
Molecule: ribosomal RNA, 253 nt
Filed under: uncultured bacterium
Lineage: Bacteria
Description: partial 16S ribosomal RNA
Rfam family: Bacterial small subunit ribosomal RNA
Source: RNAcentral